This is a long non-coding RNA of Chinchilla lanigera (long-tailed chinchilla), 769 nucleotides long. RefSeq lists it as uncharacterized. The transcript has 2 exons. The record is from RefSeq and is a predicted model, not a curated record. Lineage: Eukaryota; Metazoa; Chordata; Mammalia; Rodentia; Chinchillidae.
UGCUGGUGUUAUCUGAGAACCAAACCCCUUGCUCCUGGAGGUCGCUUGGCCUCAACUGGGCAGUUCUGAACCAUCUGGUGGAGUUUAGGUCACUCAUGUGGCUGCUCUCAGCUGGGACCUACCUAUAGCUGCACCACCCAAGAUGGCCACUUACCCUGCAGAGCUUCUACCUACCUGGCCUCUAACCAUUCAGUCAUCUGGCUUUGGCUUCCUUAUGCCAUGGGCUCCAAGAAGAGAGAAGUGGAACUGGCCAUUCCCUCUAAAGCUUGGACCUCACUUCUGCUGCACACCGCUGGUCAAAGCAAGUCACAGGCCUCAUGAGUGAUUCAAGGGGAGGGGAACUAGGCUGCACCUGUGUCUAGGGACAAGGGAGAGAGGUUGAGGGCCAUUGGACAGUAUCUCCCACAGCACGUGGCAGUCAUUUAUGCAGGGAGCUCCUGAAGGACAAGGGUUCAACUAUAUAUCCACUGUCCCCAGCCCGAACUGUCAGAGAUUUCAGGAUGCAGUGUGAGCUCCGGCCCAAUAUUCCUCAUACUGGAAUGUUGGGCUGGGAGAGGCUAGAGAGGUGGUGGAGUUAAGCCCAGGCUGUCAGCUGCCUCUGUUGGGACUCUUGAAUUUCAAGAUAGUGCAUCCAUACGCUGCCUGGGAGUCUUUUUCUGGGCAUAGCUUAUGCCCCCUGGGGCAUGAUGGGCAUAUUUCAUUCAGCCACAUGGUUACACAGAGCCCUGGAUCCAAACACAGACUUAAUAAUUAAAGCUUGUCUCUUCUC